This 462-nucleotide ribosomal RNA is filed under the name uncultured Bacteroidales bacterium. Its description in RNAcentral is "bacterial SSU rRNA". It matches the Rfam family "Bacterial small subunit ribosomal RNA", at positions 337 to 796 of the family's 1533-position model. The record is from RNAcentral. Lineage: Bacteria; Pseudomonadati; Bacteroidota; Bacteroidia; Bacteroidales.
UCCUACGGGCGGCUGCAGUGAGGAAUAUUGGUCAAUGGGCGCAAGCCUGAACCAGCCAUCCCGCGUGAAGGAAGAAGGCGCUAUGCGUUGUAAACUUCUUUUCCAGGGGAAUAAAAUUUUGUACGUGUACGGAAUUGAAGGUACCCUGGGAAUAAGCAUCGGCUAACUCCGUGCCAGCAGCCGCGGUAAUACGGAGGAUGCGAGCGUUAUCCGGAUUUAUUGGGUUUAAAGGGUGCGUAGGCGGACUAAUAAGUCAGUGGUGAAAACCUGCAGCUUAACUGUAGAACUGCCAUUGAUACUGUUGGUCUUGAGUGUGGUCAAGGUAGGCGGAAUGUGUAAUGUAGCGGUGAAAUGCUUAGAUAUUACACAGAACACCGAUUGCGAAGGCAGCUUACUGGGCCAUUACUGACGCUGAUGCACGAAAGCGUGGGGAUCGAACAGGAUUAGAUACCCUAGUAGUCC